Molecule: ribosomal RNA, 770 nt
Filed under: uncultured bacterium
Lineage: Bacteria
Description: bacterial SSU rRNA
Rfam family: Bacterial small subunit ribosomal RNA
Source: RNAcentral
AGAGUUUGAUCAUGGCUCAGAACGAACGCUGGCGGCGUGCUUAACACAUGCAAGUCGAGUGCGCGGUUGUAGCAAUACAACUGGCGCACGGCGCACGGGUGCGUAACACGUGGGUAACCUGCCCUUUGGUGGGGAAUAACUCCGCGAAAGCGGAGCUAAUUCCGCAUAAGAUCCGCAAGGAUGAAAGCCGCAAGGCGCCGAAGGAGGGGCCCGCGCCCGAUUAGCUAGUUGGUAGGGUAACGGCCUACCAAGGCUUUGAUCGGUAGCUGGUCUGAGAGGAUGAUCAGCCACACUGGAACUGAGACACGGUCCAGACUCCUACGGGAGGCAGCAGUGGGGAAUCUUGCACAAUGGGCGAAAGCCUGAUGCAGCGACGCCGCGUGGGGGAUGAAGCAUUUCGGUGUGUAAACCCCUUUCGAUCCGGACGAAACCCCGCAAGGGAUUGACGGUACGGAUAUAAGAAGCCCCGGCUAACUACGUGCCAGCAGCCGCGGUAAGACGUAGGGGGCCAGCGUUGUUCGGAAUUACUGGGUGUAAAGGGUUCGUAGGCGGUGCGGCAAGUUGGGAGUGAAAUCUCUGGGCUUAACCCAGAGGCUGCUUCCAAAACUGCUGUGCUUGAGUGUGGGAGAGGCGCGUGGAAUUGCAGGUGUAGCGGUGAAAUGCGUAGAUAUCUGCAGGAACACCCGUGGCGGAAGCGGCGCGCUGGACCACUACUGACGCUGAGGAACGAAAGCUAGGGGAGCAAACAGGAUUAGAUACCCUAGUAGUCC